CUACGGGGGGCUGCAGUGGGGAAUAUUGCACAAUGGGCGCAAGCCUGAUGCAGCCAUGCCGCGUGUAUGAAGAAGGCCUUCGGGUUGUAAAGUACUUUCAGCGGGGAGGAAGGGAGUAAAGUUAAUACCUUUGCUCAUUGACGUUACCCGCAGAAGAAGCACCGGCUAACACCGUGCCAGCGAGCCGCGGUAAUACGGAGGGUGCAAGCGUUAAUCGGAAUUACUGGGCGUAAAGCGCACGCAGGCGGUUUGUUAAGUCAGAUGUGAAAUCCCCGGGCUCAACCUGGGAACUGCAUCUGAUACUGGCAAGCUUGAGUCUCGUAGAGGGGGGUAGAAUUCCAGGUGUAGCGGUGAAAUGCGUAGAGAUCUGGAGGAAUACCGGUGGCGAAGGCGGCCCCCUGGACGAAGACUGACGCUCAGGUGCGAAAGCGUGGGGAGCAAACAGGAUUAGAUACCCGUGUAGUC
This 465-nucleotide ribosomal RNA is filed under the name uncultured bacterium. RNAcentral's name for it is "partial 16S ribosomal RNA". It matches the Rfam family "Bacterial small subunit ribosomal RNA", at positions 339 to 795 of the family's 1533-position model. The record is from RNAcentral.